This 977-nucleotide long non-coding RNA is filed under the name Ananas comosus (pineapple). RNAcentral's name for it is "long non-coding RNA (ACOM_LNC015540)". Lineage: Eukaryota; Viridiplantae; Streptophyta; Magnoliopsida; Poales; Bromeliaceae. The record is from RNAcentral.
UUAAUGCCACGUCACUAUCACUAAAAUAAUAAUAAUAAUAAAAAUAAUAAUAAUAAGAAAUUUUUUUUUUAAAUACAAUCGAUGUGGUUUCACACUUUUUCACUUUAGUAUUCUGUAGUUUAAAGUAUAUCAAUUUAUAUUCUAUAGUUUUAUUUUAUCUUUUUAUUAACGAUUUCACUAAUUUUUUUUGAUUUAUCAGUGACAAAGUUAAAAUUAAAGGAUACUAAAAUAAAUAUUCGAUAAAUCUAGGUGAGUUAUUUGAAGUUUUUUAUAUAUAAUUUAACAAAAUAAUAACGGAAAAGCUGACGAAAAGAUAAAAAUAAAACCAUCGGAUACUAACUUGAUACAUUUUAAAGCACAUAGUACUAAAGUAGAAAACUGGAAAACCACAUGGGCGGUAUUUGAAAUUUACCCUAACAAGAAUAUAAGGGUAAAUUAUACCUUCGGUCCUCAAGAUGCAUCAUAUUUUGGCUCUUAACUUUUAAUAUAUUAUAAUUUUGGGCUUAAAUUUUUUGAAUUGUUACAAUCAGGUUCAAUAACACAAUUUAAUUCGCUUAAAUAUUGAUAAAUAAUUAAUAUAUAUAAAAAUAUUAUAAUUGAUGAUGUGAUAAUAAUUAAUAUCUUAUGCCACUAUACAUCAGCAAUCUAUCAUUAUUUAUCUAACUAAAUUAGGCUGUGUGAUUUAAUUGUAAUAAUUUAAAAAAUUUGAGUCAGAUAUUAUAAUAAAUUAAAAUUUAAGAAUUUAAAAUAUCGCAUAUCUCAUAGUUUCAGGACCAAAGAUCUAAUUUACCUUAAUAAUCUAUGACUAUCUAUAACUAUAUAUUAUUCCUCAAUAACUGCACACGUGUCGCGAGGAGGCCGCGUGCGCUGGCGCGGGCCGAGUCGCGAGCAGGAGCGGGCGUGGCGCGGGGUGGGCGCUGGCGCGGGCACGGGCGUGGGCGCUGACUCGUGGGCGGGCUCUGGCGCUGGCGUCGUGG